RNAcentral lists this ribosomal RNA (500 nucleotides) under uncultured Glomeromycotina. RNAcentral's name for it is "partial small subunit ribosomal RNA". It matches the Rfam family "Eukaryotic small subunit ribosomal RNA", at positions 591 to 1092 of the family's 1831-position model. The record is from RNAcentral. Lineage: Eukaryota; Fungi; Glomeromycota.
CCAAUAGCGUAUAUUAAAGUUGUUGCAGUUAAAAAGCUCGUAGUUGAAUUUCGGGGUUAGUAGGUUGGUCAUGCCUCUGGUAUGUACUGGUCUCACUGAUUCCUCCUUCCUGAUGAGCCGUAAUGCCAUUAAUUUGGUGUUGCGGGGAAUUUGGACUGUUACUUUGAAAAAAUUAGAGUGUUUAAAGCAAGCUAACGCUUGAAUACAUUAGCAUGGAAUAAUGAAAUAGGACGUUCGAUCCUAUUUUGUUGGUUUCUAGGAUUGACGUAAUGAUGAAUAGGGAUAGUUGGGGGCAUUAGUAUUCAAUUGUCAGAGGUGAAAUUCUUGGAUUUAUUGAAGACUAACUACUGCGAAAGCAUUUGCCAAGGAUGUUUUCAUUAAUCAAGAACGAAAGUUAGGGGAUCGAAGACGAUCAGAUACCGUCGUAGUCUUAACCAUAAACUAUGCCGACUAGGGAUCGGAUGAUGUUAAUUUUUUAAUGACUCAUUCGGCGCCUUACG